UGUUUCGGCUAGGGGGCCAUCCCGGCUUACCAACCCGAUGCAAACUGCGAAUACCGGAGAAUGUUAUCACGGGAGACACACGGCGGGUGCUAACGUCCGUCGUGAAGAGGGAAACAACCCAGACCGCCAGCUAAGGUCCCAAAGUCAUGGUUAAGUGGGAAACGAUGUGGGAAGGCCCAGACAGCCAGGAUGUUGGCUUAGAAGCAGCCAUCAUUUAAAGAAAGCGUAAUAGCUCACUGGUCGAGUCGGCCUGCGCGGAAGAUGUAACGGGGCUAAACCAUGCACCGAAGCUGCGGCAGCGACACUAUGUGUUGUUGGGUAGGGGAGCGUUCUGUAAGCCUG
Molecule: ribosomal RNA, 342 nt
Filed under: Cronobacter sakazakii
Lineage: Bacteria; Pseudomonadati; Pseudomonadota; Gammaproteobacteria; Enterobacterales; Enterobacteriaceae
Also listed under: 1 other name
Description: partial 23S ribosomal RNA
Rfam family: Bacterial large subunit ribosomal RNA
Source: RNAcentral